This 137-nucleotide ribosomal RNA is filed under the name Caloramator sp. CAR-1. Its description in RNAcentral is "partial 16S ribosomal RNA". It matches the Rfam family "Bacterial small subunit ribosomal RNA", at positions 1 to 132 of the family's 1533-position model. Lineage: Bacteria; Bacillati; Bacillota; Clostridia; Eubacteriales; Clostridiaceae. The record is from RNAcentral.
AAACAUAAGAGUUUGAUCCUGGCUCAGGACGAACGCUGGCGGCGUGCCUAACACAUGCAAGUCGAGCGGAGAUGCCAAGGAGCAAUCCAAGGUGUCUUAGCGGCGGACGGGUGAGUAACACGUGGGUAACCUACCCC